GGGGCCGUAGUCUAGCUUGGUCUAGGAUUCCAGCUUGGGGUGCUGGCGACCUGAGUUCGAAUCUCAGCGGCCCCA
This 75-nucleotide transfer RNA is filed under the name Candidatus Aenigmatarchaeota archaeon. RNAcentral describes it as "tRNA-Pro". It matches the Rfam family "tRNA". Rfam says of the family: Transfer RNA (tRNA) molecules are approximately 80 nucleotides in length. Their secondary structure includes four short double-helical elements and three loops (D, anti-codon, and T loops). Lineage: Archaea; Nanobdellati; Candidatus Aenigmatarchaeota. The record is from RNAcentral.